GGAUUGUGGCUCAGUGGUAGAGCACUUGCCUAGCAUGUGUGAGUCACUGAGUUCAAUCCUUAGCACCA
This 68-nucleotide transfer RNA is filed under the name Marmota monax (woodchuck). Its description in RNAcentral is "tRNA.Ala". Lineage: Eukaryota; Metazoa; Chordata; Mammalia; Rodentia; Sciuridae. The record is from RNAcentral.